This 275-nucleotide long non-coding RNA is filed under the name Lepidothrix coronata (blue-crowned manakin). Its description in RNAcentral is "lncRNA (ENSLCOG00000008600.1)". The record is from RNAcentral. Lineage: Eukaryota; Metazoa; Chordata; Aves; Passeriformes; Pipridae.
GCCCCGCCGCGGGUCCGGAGCGGGGCGGGCGGCGAGCGCGGCGCUGCCCCUGCCCUGAGCAUCGGGGACCGUGUGAGGGCUAGGGCUUAAUAAGGCCUCCGGGAGGAUUACUUCAGACGCUGCCCAUCCAGUUCUUAACGCUGUUACAUCCACAACCCAGUGAAUUCCCGCUGAACUGUGGAAUUAAUGGAAUCCAAAAUAAAACAGAAUAAUUCUAUGGAUCCAGGCAGAUAUGCUGACUGAUUGUGGACCAUUGGGAUCUCUCCACUGGGUUG